GGGCGAUUAGCUCAGUUGGUAGAGCAGCUGACUCUUAAUCAGCGGGUCCGGGGUUCGAGCCCCCGAUCGCCCCCCA
Molecule: transfer RNA, 76 nt
Filed under: Rhodospirillaceae bacterium
Lineage: Bacteria; Pseudomonadati; Pseudomonadota; Alphaproteobacteria; Rhodospirillales; Rhodospirillaceae
Also listed under: 3 other names
Description: tRNA-Lys
Rfam family: tRNA
About the family: Transfer RNA (tRNA) molecules are approximately 80 nucleotides in length.
Source: RNAcentral